GAUGAACGCUGGCGGCGUGCCUAAUACAUGCAGGUCGAGCGAACAGACGCGGAGCUUGCUCCUUUGACGUUAGCGGCGGACGGGUGAGUAACACGUGGGUAACCUACCUAUAAGACUGGGAUAACUUCGGGAAACCGGAGCUAAUACCGGAUAAUAUUUCGAACCGCAUGGUUCGAUAGUGAAAGAUGGCUUUGCUAUCACUUAUAGAUGGACCUGCGCCGUAUUAGCUAGUUGGUAAGGUAACGGCUUACCAAGGCAACGAUACGUAGCCGACCUGAGAGGGUGAUCGGCCACACUGGAACUGAGACACGGUCCAGACUCCUACGGGAGGCAGCAGUAGGGAAUCUUCCGCAAUGGGCGAAAGCCUGACGGAGCAACGCCGCGUGAGUGAUGAAGGUCUUCGGAUCGUAAAACUCUGUUAUUAGGGAAGAACAAACGUGUAAGUAACUGUGCACGUCUUGACGGUACCUAAUCAGAAAGCCACGGCUAACUACGUG
This 497-nucleotide ribosomal RNA is filed under the name uncultured bacterium. Its description in RNAcentral is "partial 16S ribosomal RNA". It matches the Rfam family "Bacterial small subunit ribosomal RNA", at positions 28 to 507 of the family's 1533-position model. The record is from RNAcentral.